UCGAGCUUGGCUGGAUUUACUUAGAAAACAAUCCAUAAAUGAGGAAUUUUGACACUAAAGUUAACUGCAGAAGUUGCGGAAGUAGACAAGAAUCAUCCGACAUCUUUGAACCACGUAGAAAUCGAUAUUCCGGCUGUUUUUUUUUUUUGAGGAUUCUCUUCAGCGGGACUUCGAUCUUCAUCCAUCUGCUGCUGUGUGUCGAUGUCCAUCCAUGUCCAUAUCUCCAUCUCCAUCACACUGGAAUCGGCCAUCACCUCGGACCGUCUCGUCGGACAUUCAUCAUAAGGGGACGGGAUGAUUAAUGUGAUUCCCAAUCCAGGACAGCCGACUAGAGAGCACAAUCCAUAAGGGACUGUGGAUAGAACUGAAUGGGGUCAUCCGAAGGGAAAGAAAAGUAAACAAAAC
Amphiprion ocellaris (clown anemonefish) is the source of this 405-nucleotide long non-coding RNA. The record is from Ensembl. Lineage: Eukaryota; Metazoa; Chordata; Actinopteri; Pomacentridae.